Molecule: RNA transcript, 2704 nt
Organism: Ceratina calcarata
Lineage: Eukaryota; Metazoa; Arthropoda; Insecta; Hymenoptera; Apidae
Gene name: tenascin
Exons: 7
Source: RefSeq, a predicted model, not a curated record
GAUGUCUAAAUACAGACAGACAGAUAAACGUCGACGGUCGUCUGUUAGUCGAAGUUCAACUCGUCCUGAGAGUGCAUAUCGAAUAUGAAUUACCUCCGUAUUUUCGUUUUCGUGAAUGCGAUUCUUCUCGUCGAAGGAACGUCGCAAUCUUCGUCCGAAGAUACUCGAAACAAGUGCCUCGUGCACUACAGUCGAAAACAAAUGGUAUACGUGCCCUAUUUCGAGACAUACAAGAUCCGCAAAUGGGGAAUUUUCUAUCAGAUCAAAGAACGAAUGAAUUACAAAAUAGAGUACAAGACCAUAUGGGUCGACGAGAUGGACUGUUGCACUGGUUACCAACAAGUAGGAGGAAGAGUAUGUAAACCAAGGUGCAGUACAUCCUGCGUGAACGCGAUUUGCACCAAACCAGACACGUGCGAGUGCAAACCUGGAUUCAGGCCCUCGCUGGAACCAGGCAGGCAAGAGUACGUCUGCGACCCCUUGUGCGACGGUGAUUGCCCGAACGGUACCUGCGUUGCUCCGAACCAGUGUAAGUGCGACCGCGGUUACUCGUUGCUCGACGAUCUGCACUGCCAACCGAUUUGUAACAUCAACUGCGAACAGUACAACGCACGAUGCACGGCUCCAAAUCAGUGCCAGUGCAAGGAGGGCUAUUUAGACGAAUCAGCAUCCAAUAAUAGCAGCACGCCAGUGUGCACACCGAUUUGUAAUGACUGCAAAAACAGUACUUGCACGGCUCCUCAAGUCUGUACUUGUAACGACGGAUUUGAACACGCAGGCGAGUUUGGUUGCAAACCGCAGUGCGAGAAGGGAUGCUUGAACGGCAAUUGCAUCGCCCCUAACACUUGCGUCUGCGAUCUUGGCUAUCAAUUGAACCACAAUGAAUGCAAGCCGGUUUGCAGUCAGCCGUGCAAGAAGGGCACUUGCAUCGCACCUGAAGUUUGCAGUUGCGACGAAGGUUACGGUUUAAGAGAAUUGAUCGGCGAUGCUAGGUACAUUUGUGAACCGGUCUGCGAGAGGGCUUGUGUAAAUGGUACCUGCACGGCGCCGAACAAUUGUACGUGCUACGAAGGUUACAGGGUCAGUGGUGAUGAUACCAUGAUACACGUGUGCUUACCGGAUUGUGGGAGUAGUUGCGAGAACGGGGAAUGUAUCGCACCGGGAGUCUGCAGAUGUAACGAGGGUUACACUAUGCAUAAUUGUUAUAAUGGAACGCGCGAGAGCGAGACGAAAAUGUGCUCGCCUUGCAAGCUUCCCUGCGAAACUGCUGGGACUCUAUGCGUGGCGCCUGGCGUUUGUGAUAAAUUCGAUAUGGGUGACAACGCCACUUGGCACUGUGAGAGCAUCUGCGAUCCAGCUUGCAUAAAUGGGAGAUGCAUUCGUCCCAACAUUUGCCUUUGCAACAAUGAUUAUGUGCAUACCAAGCAAGGUGUAUGCGAGCCCAUUUGUUCGUCUUGUGACAAUGGUACUUGCAUCGCGCCGAACGUGUGUCAAUGUAAAAAAGGUUUCGUUCUGUUAAACGUAUCCUGCGUGCCGCACUGCGAGAACUGCGAGAAUGGAGAUUGCGUGGCGCCGGACGUGUGCCAAUGUCAUAAUGGAUUCCAGUCAGAUGGGAAUGUAUCUGUGUGCUAUGCGAUGUACAAUAGUACAGACGCGGUAUCCAGGCUAGCUGGCACCUUGGCAGCGGUGACAAUUUUGUUAAUGGCAAUCGCGAGCGCGGUGAUAUACUUGCUGAUACGAAGACACCAGAGGAGACGAAUAGGCGCAGUGCGAAGCGCAGUUCAAGAGUCCAUCGCCACCGAGUCUCUGCUCGAGGAAGAAGAUCAUAUCACGUCGCCUACAAUGGAUUUGUACGGAGCUGGAAGCUAGCAAAAUCAAUCACUAGAAGAGAAAAGUCUUCCUCUUAAAACAAAAAAAAAAACACUUCACGUCCAUCAUUAACCACUUGCACUAUUUUGACGAGUCUGACUCGUGAUGAAAAUUUUAGACCAAACAUGGAUGUCACGAGUCGGGCUCGUUGUUCAGUUCCAGACCAAACAUGAAUAUCAGCCUGACUCGUAAUCGACAUUUCAGGCCGAACAUGAAUAUCAGGAGUCUGACUCAUGGUCUUAGUUUUGGACCAAGUAUGAACAUCUCGAAUGGGAUUGCUUUCAUCUUAUGUAAUAAUCAAAGUAUUUUUUUAAAGUUUUGAAAUUGAUAGGUCUCAAGUUUCGGCAAGCGCGCUCCACCGCUCGCCUCUCACCGUGACAAUCGAGGCAGCUGCGUUUGGCCUGACUUUUCCCGAGGUUACGAAUAGUGCAAGGGGUUAAAUUUGUAAUUUACCGAUGCGUUUUAUAUGUAUAAAGAAGGAACGAACCGUGCCCUGUAAACAACGUGUGACAAACGAAGCCCGAUGACUACAUCAAAUGCGAUUCGCACCCCUACCAUUUGACAUAGCAAUAUCAACAAAAUAUCAAGAGUCUUCGAGAUCCGUCUGCAAGUGGUAAUCACACUGAAAAGGGAGAUCCACUAACGAGGCACGAUAUCGAACCCAGAGAUUUCGAAUAAAAAUUCUCUAUACGCCAAGCGUGUACGCUUUCACUAUUAAUAAAAGACAGCGAUCGAUUCUCGUAGAUCCAUUCUGGGAAGUGGUAACUAUACGACGAGGAGGAUCCCACUCACAAGACGCGAUACGAAAACCAUCGAGACUCGUGCGUUGUCUACG